This 295-nucleotide long non-coding RNA is filed under the name Anser cygnoides (Swan goose). RNAcentral describes it as "lncRNA (ENSACDG00005011176.1)". The record is from RNAcentral. Lineage: Eukaryota; Metazoa; Chordata; Aves; Anseriformes; Anatidae.
CUUAACAUCUUGAGAAGUCAUGGGAAAAAUAAGCAUUUCCUGGCAAGCACUGUGUGAAGUAACCAUCCUUUUGGCAAAGAGAAGCUCAGCUUAUACCAAAAUGGAUGUCAUUUUCAAGCUAUGCAGUGGGAUGGUCUGGCAAGAAACUGGACUGGAUUACCUCUUGGUUAGCUCUUUUAACAGAACUUCUAGUGUUUACAGGGAUUUCUUCAUUUGUAGACCACUGUUGGUGAUAAAAACCUUUAGUCACUUGGGAUCUCAUCUGCCUAAACCUGUCCUGAGGAGAGAAGCAUGA